CGUACACUCCUGCGGGAGGCAGCAGUGGGGAAUAUUGCACAAUGGGCGCAAGCCUGAUGCAGCCAUGCCGCGUGUAUGAAGAAGGCCUUCGGGUUGUAAAGUACUUUCAGCGGGGAGGAAGGCAAUACGGUUAAUAACCGUGUUGAUUGACGUUACCCGCAGAAGAAGCACCGGCUAACUCCGUGCCAGCAGCCGCGGUAAUACGGAGGGUGCAAGCGUUAAUCGGAAUUACUGGGCGUAAAGCGCACGCAGGCGGUCUGUCAAGUCGGAUGUGAAAUCCCCGGGCUCAACCUGGGAACUGCAUUCGAAACUGGCAGGCUUGAGUCUUGUAGAGGGGGGUAGAAUUCCAGGUGUAGCGGUGAAAUGCGUAGAGAUCUGGAGGAAUACCGGUGGCGAAGGCGGCCCCCUGGACGAAGACUGACGCUCAGGUGCGAAAGCGUGGGGAGCAAACAGGAUUAGAUACCCGAGUAGUCCCA
Molecule: ribosomal RNA, 476 nt
Filed under: uncultured organism
Description: partial 16S ribosomal RNA
Rfam family: Bacterial small subunit ribosomal RNA
Source: RNAcentral